This is a long non-coding RNA of Dermacentor andersoni, 745 nucleotides long. RefSeq lists it as uncharacterized. The record is from RefSeq and is a predicted model, not a curated record. Lineage: Eukaryota; Metazoa; Arthropoda; Arachnida; Ixodida; Ixodidae.
UCAACUUAUGUCGAUGUCUUCUUGCUAGUGAAUAUAUGAAUGUCACUGACUGGCUUUGUACAGGCUAAAAGAAGCUUGAAAGUUCGUAUGUAAGCAUGUCGGCCGCCACACGCGUGUCCAGGGGGACGGUACGUUCCCGUGUUUACGCUGCUAUCUAGUCACGCUGGCGCGUGCAGAUGCGGGUGGGGAAGAACACCUGCGGCGGUCCGGACCACAGAUGUCUCUGGAACAGUCGUAUGCAGCGAACUCGUUAGUGGACGCGGUUGCCGUUUCGUGUACCAGAACAGCAUUGGAGCGUUGAGCAACCAGCCAUAGGCUGCCCUGUGUGCUUGGCGGAGAGGUUCCCACCGGUCGCCAUGAUGUGCUGCCUGCCCACGGUGGUUCUCUUAGUGGCUGUAGCCGCUUCUGGAGUCAUACUUGCAUGCUUCAAGCUUGGUAACGCGGGCCCGAAGAAGCCGACGUACGGCUCUUCAGAAAAGUCCAGUUGCCGCCUGCUGGUUGAGGACAGCUAGCGCAGCCUACUGAGUGCCAGUUGCAAUGUCGUCGCUCAAAGAGUGGACAGAAUGUAGCGUUCCUGAAACACACCAGGAGAAAAGUCUCAAGCCACGGAAAUGUCGGAGAGCACGCCCGAAGCGCUCCGUUGAAGCUGGCGAGAGGCAACAAAAGAACAGGACACGCAACGAGAUCGACCCACUUUCGUAAUAAAAGUGUUCGCAUGUAACUGUCACAUGAAGCAAAUGAGCUA